UACGUAGGGUGCGAGCGUUAAUCGGAAUUACUGGGCGUAAAGCGUGCGCAAGCGGCUUUGCAAGACAGAUGUGAAAUCCCCGGGCUCAACCUGGGAACUGCAUUUGUGACUGCAAGGCUAGAGUACGGCAGUGGGGGAUGGAAUUCCGCGUGUAGCAGUGAAAUGCGUAGAUAUGCGGAGGAACACCAAUGGCGAAGGCAAUCCCCUGGGCCUGUACUGACGCUCAUGCACGAAAGCGUGGGGAGCAAACAGG
RNAcentral lists this ribosomal RNA (253 nucleotides) under uncultured bacterium. RNAcentral's name for it is "partial 16S ribosomal RNA". It matches the Rfam family "Bacterial small subunit ribosomal RNA", at positions 524 to 776 of the family's 1533-position model. The record is from RNAcentral.